CACAUGCUCCUUAGAUCCACCUUUGGGAUGUAUCUAUUCUGCCUUGCUGGUAGAUCUCUGCACCCUGUUGUUGGGUUCUCCAGUGGGCUGGCAGGUGACGUUCAUCAAUUUGUGGUUGUACAGUCAAAGGUACUUGAGUCAUUGGCAUGUGAAAGUAAUAUACUUGCACGGUAGCCCCUCAGUUCUGAUGUGAACAACCUGUUUUAUCCAGGCUGUUGCUGCCAUCAGGACUUUGCUGCUAUGUGGACACG
Molecule: small nucleolar RNA, 251 nt
Organism: Carcharodon carcharias (great white shark)
Lineage: Eukaryota; Metazoa; Chordata; Chondrichthyes; Lamniformes; Lamnidae
Product: small nucleolar RNA SNORA53
Exons: 1
Source: RefSeq, a predicted model, not a curated record